UCUAUAUUCACUAAGGUUAAAGUAUUAAUUUAUAAAAUUAAUACUUUAACUUUAAUUAUAAAAUAUGAAU
RNAcentral lists this transfer RNA (70 nucleotides) under Pseudopedinella elastica. RNAcentral describes it as "tRNA-Tyr". The record is from RNAcentral. Lineage: Eukaryota; Dictyochophyceae; Pedinellales.